AACGAACGCUGGCGGCAUGCCUAACACAUGCAAGUCGAACGAGACCUUCGGGUCUAGUGGCGCACGGGUGCGUAACGCGUGGGAACCUGCCCUUAGGUUCGGAAUAACUCCCCGAAAGGGGUGCUAAUACCGGUUAAUGUCUUCGGACCAAAGAUUUAUCGCCUUUGGAUGGGCCCGCGUUGGAUUAGCUAGUUGGUAGGGUAAAAGCCUACCAAGGCGUCGUUCCAUAGCUGGUCUGAGAGGAGGAUCAGCCACACUGGGGCUGGGACACGGCCCAGACUCCUACGGGAGGCAGCAGUGGGGAAUAUUGGACACUGGGCGAAGGCCUGAUCCAGCAAUGCCGCGUGAGUGAUGAAGGCCUUAGGGUUGUAAAGCUCUUUUACCCGGGAAGAUAAUGACAGUACCGGGAGAAUAAGCUCCGGCUAACUCCGUG
Molecule: ribosomal RNA, 433 nt
Filed under: uncultured bacterium
Lineage: Bacteria
Description: partial 16S ribosomal RNA
Rfam family: Bacterial small subunit ribosomal RNA
Source: RNAcentral